GCACAGCUCCGCUUCCUCGUUAUCCCUAUGCUAGCUACUUGAAGAAAAACUCUGAGCUCAAGACUCAAUGUUUCAAUCUAUCGUCUAAAAGCUUUGAGGUCGUUUGUGGCAUCUUUGAAGAAAAGAAUCAAUCAAUCGCAUUUCUCAAUUCAAGGGUGUUUUUGGUUUUUUCAAAAGGACAGAACUGUUGUUGGCAAGUGGACUAAGCAAUUUCCAGUUUCUAGGUAUAUCUUGAGUCAUUGAUUACCAGUUU
Long non-coding RNA from Rosa rugosa (rugosa rose), 253 nucleotides. RefSeq lists it as uncharacterized. Lineage: Eukaryota; Viridiplantae; Streptophyta; Magnoliopsida; Rosales; Rosaceae. The record is from RefSeq and is a predicted model, not a curated record. The transcript is spliced from 4 exons.